GACGAACGCUGGCGGCGUGCUUAACACAUGCAAGUCGAACGGAAAGGCCCUGCUUUUGUGGGGUGCUCGAGUGGCGAACGGGUGAGUAACACGAGAGUAACCUGCCCAUGACUUUGGGAUAACUUCAGGAAACUGGGGCUAAUACCGGAUAGGAGCUCCUGCUGCAUGGUGGGGGUUGGAAAGUUUCGGCGGUUGGGGAUGGACUCGCGGCUUAUCAGCUUGUUGGUGGGGUAGUGGCUUACCAAGGCUUUGACGGGUAGCCGGCCUGAGAGGGUGACCGGCCACAUUGGGACUGAGAUACGGCCCAGACUCCUACGGGAGGCAGCAGUGGGGAAUAUUGCACAGUGGGCGGAAGCCUGAUGCAGCAACGCCGCGGGCGGGAUGACGGCCUUCGGGUUGUAAACCGCUUUCGCCUGUGACGAAGCGUGAGUGACGGUAAUGUGUAAAGAAGCACCGGCUAACUACGUG
This 468-nucleotide ribosomal RNA is filed under the name uncultured bacterium. Its description in RNAcentral is "partial 16S ribosomal RNA". It matches the Rfam family "Bacterial small subunit ribosomal RNA", at positions 28 to 507 of the family's 1533-position model. The record is from RNAcentral.